GAUGAACGCUGGCGGCGUGCCUAAUACAUGCAAGUCGAGCGAACGGACGAGAAGCUUGCUUCUCUGAUGUUAGCGGCGGACGGGUGAGUAACACGUGGAUAACCUACCUAUAAGACUGGGAUAACUUCGGGAAACCGGAGCUAAUACCGGAUGAUAUUUUGAACCGCAUGGUUCAAAAGUGAAAGACGGUCUUGCUGUCACUUAUAGAUGGAUCCGCGCUGCAUUAGCUAGUUGGUAAGGUAACGGCUUACCAAGGCAACGAUGCAUAGCCGACCUGAGAGGGUGAUCGGCCACACUGGAACUGAGACACGGUCCAGACUCCUACGGGAGGCAGCGUAGGGAAUCUUCCGCAAUGGGCGAAAGCCUGACGGAGCAACGCCGCGUGAGUGAUGAAGGUCUUCGGAUCGUAAAACUCUGUUAUUAGGGAAGAACAUAUGUGUAAGUAACUGUGCACAUCUUGACGGUACCUAAUCAGAAAGCCACGGCUAACUACGUG
Molecule: ribosomal RNA, 496 nt
Filed under: uncultured bacterium
Lineage: Bacteria
Description: partial 16S ribosomal RNA
Rfam family: Bacterial small subunit ribosomal RNA
Source: RNAcentral